This 498-nucleotide ribosomal RNA is filed under the name uncultured bacterium. RNAcentral's name for it is "partial 16S ribosomal RNA". It matches the Rfam family "Bacterial small subunit ribosomal RNA", at positions 30 to 523 of the family's 1533-position model. The record is from RNAcentral.
AUUGAACGCUGGCGGCAUGCCUUACACAUGCAAGUCGAACGGUAACAGGUCUUCGGAUGCUGACGAGUGGCGAACGGGUGAGUAAUACAUCGGAACGUGCCUAGUAGUGGGGGAUAACUACUCGAAAGAGUGGCUAAUACCGCAUGAGAUCUACGGAUGAAAACAGGGGAUCGCAAGACCUUGUGCUAUUAGAGCGGCCGAUGGCAGAUUAGGUAGUUGGUGGGAUAAAAGCUUACCAAGCCGACGAUCUGUAGCUGGUCUGAGAGGACGAUCAGCCACACUGGGACUGAGACACGGCCCAGACUCCUACGGGAGGCAGCAGUGGGGAAUUUUGGACAAUGGGCGCAAGCCUGAUCCAGCAAUGCCGCGUGCAGGAUGAAGGCCUUCGGGUUGUAAACUGCUUUUGUACGGAACGAAAAGCCCUGGGUUAAUACCCUGGGGUCAUGACGGUACCGUAAGAAUAAGCACCGGCUAACUACGUGCCAGCCGCCGCCGUAA